UACGCAGGGGGCUAGCGUUGUUCGGAGUUACUGGGCGUAAAGGGCGCGUAGGCGGCGCAUCAAGUCAGGCGUGAAAGCCCUGGGCUCAACCCGGGAAUUGCGCUUGAGACUGGUGUGCUUGAGUACGGGAGAGGAUAGUGGAAUUCCCAGUGUAGAGGUGAAAUUCGUAGAUAUUGGGAAGAACACCGGUGGCGAAGGCGGCGACCUGGUCCGAGACUGACGCUGAGGCGCGAAAGCGUGGGGAGCAAACAGG
This 253-nucleotide ribosomal RNA is filed under the name uncultured bacterium. RNAcentral's name for it is "partial 16S ribosomal RNA". It matches the Rfam family "Bacterial small subunit ribosomal RNA", at positions 524 to 776 of the family's 1533-position model. The record is from RNAcentral.